Molecule: ribosomal RNA, 931 nt
Filed under: Thaxterogaster chalybeus
Lineage: Eukaryota; Fungi; Basidiomycota; Agaricomycetes; Agaricales; Cortinariaceae
Description: Cortinarius chalybeus partial large subunit ribosomal RNA
Rfam family: Eukaryotic large subunit ribosomal RNA
Source: RNAcentral
CAUAUCAAUUAAGCGGAGGAAAAGAAACUAACAAGGAUUCCCCUAGUAACUGCGAGUGAAGCGGGAAAAGCUCAAAUUUUAAAUCUGGCAGUCUCUGGCUGUCCGAGUUGUAAUCUAGAGAAGUGUUAUCCGCGCUGGACCGUGUACAAGUCUCCUGGAAUGGAGCGUCAUAGAGGGUGAGAAUCCCGUCUUUGACACGGACUGCCAGGGCUUUGUGAUGCGCUCUCAAAGAGUCGAGUUGUUUGGGAAUGCAGCUCAAAAUGGGUGGUAAAUUCCAUCUAAAGCUAAAUAUUGGCGAGAGACCGAUAGCGAACAAGUACCGUGAGGGAAAGAUGAAAAGAACUUUGGAAAGAGAGUUAAACAGUACGUGAAAUUGCUGAAAGGGAAACGCUUGAAGUCAGUCGCGUUGGCCAGGGAUCAACCUUGCUUUUGCUUGGUGCACUUUCUGGUUGACGGGUCAGCAUCAAUUUUGACCAUUGGAAAAAGGUCAGGGGAAUGUGGCAUCCUCGGAUGUGUUAUAGCCCUUAGCUGCAUACAAUGGUUGGGAUUGAGGAACUCAGCACGCCGAAAGGCCGGGUUUUUAACCACGUACGUGCUUAGGAUGCUGGCAUAAUGGCUUUAAUCGACCCGUCUUGAAACACGGACCAAGGAGUCUAACAUACCUGCGAGUGUUUGGGUGGAAAACCCGAGCGCGCAAUGAAAGUGAAAGUUGAGAUCCCUGUCGUGGGGAGCAUCGACGCCCGGACCAGACCUUUUGUGACGGCCCCGCGGUAGAGCAUGUAUGUUGGGACCCGAAAGAUGGUGAACUAUGCCUGAAUAGGGUGAAGCCAGAGGAAACUCUGGUGGAGGCUCGUAGCGAUUCUGACGUGCAAAUCGAUCGUCAAAUUUGGGUAUAGGGGCGAAAGACUAAUUCGAACCAUCUAGUAGCUGG